UACGGAGGGUGCGAGCGUUGUCCGGAAUCACUGGGCGUAAAGGGCGCGUAGGCGGCUCAUGAAGGCUGUGGUGAAAGUCCGGGGCUCAACCUCGGAUCGGCCGUGGCGACUCGUGGGCUGGAGCACUGUAGAGGCGGGUGGAAUUCCGGGGUGUAGCGGUGGAAUGCGUAGAGAUCCGGAAGAACACCAGUGGCGAAGGCGGCCCGCUGGGCAGUGGCUGACGCUGAAGCGCGACAGCGUGGGGGAGCGAACAGG
This 255-nucleotide ribosomal RNA is filed under the name uncultured bacterium. RNAcentral describes it as "partial 16S ribosomal RNA". It matches the Rfam family "Bacterial small subunit ribosomal RNA", at positions 524 to 776 of the family's 1533-position model. The record is from RNAcentral.